This 86-nucleotide transfer RNA is filed under the name Puccinia triticina. Its description in RNAcentral is "tRNA-Ile". It matches the Rfam family "tRNA". From Rfam's summary of the family: Transfer RNA (tRNA) molecules are approximately 80 nucleotides in length. Lineage: Eukaryota; Fungi; Basidiomycota; Pucciniomycetes; Pucciniales; Pucciniaceae. The record is from RNAcentral.
GCGUCUGUAGCCUAGUUGGUAAAGGCAGCACUCUAAUAUGUGUCUCAGCAUAGCUGAGGUCGUGAGUUCAACUCUCACCAGACACA